AUAAAAUUAAUUUCUUUUUGCUCCAAUUUGAUCUCCAUGAAUCACAAAGCAUUAUUCUUAGCUUUUUUUGUCAUACUCCUCUGUCUAUUCUCAGCAACUUCUAGAAGAUUGACAGGUUAUGAUUGUAAUGGCUAUAAAUCUCAAGAAGAAUCGUAUCCACCAUGUAGUUCCCUCUACUUUAUCGAUCCGCAGAUACGAAAAAUUCAAGUCCCAAAUUCAAUAUCGUCACCUGCUCGUGGAGCAUGAACAGAGAUUGAGUAACAAAAAAGGUCAUAUUGCGCAAGAACUUUAUAUUAUAUUUACGUAAGUUUAAUUACAUAUGUUUUUUGAGUUGGACUUUUGUAUGUUUGGAUCUCUGUGAUAGAUCUUCAAUGGAGUUAAGUUAUGUAUUUUUUUAAUAUAUAUAUAUAUAUAAUAAAAACAUUUUAUAUAUAUUAAAGUAGGGAAUUUAUGAAUCAAGAAUCUGGUUGUUGGACAUAGUCUCAACAUAUCAGAGAUUCAGAGA
Long non-coding RNA from Solanum lycopersicum (tomato), 505 nucleotides. RefSeq lists it as uncharacterized. Lineage: Eukaryota; Viridiplantae; Streptophyta; Magnoliopsida; Solanales; Solanaceae. The record is from RefSeq and is a predicted model, not a curated record.